AGCACUUCCAAGAGCUGGAAGAAGGUGGAAGAGCUGCUGGCUUCCCGGCAGCACAGACGAGCAGUGGCCCUGGGAAGACCCACCGGUCGCAGCGCCCCCCGGUGCUCUCUUCGGCCUCCCGGUGGAGUCGGCUUUUGAAGCGGAGGAAUUACCGGGGUCUCACCUGAAGAAGAGAGCUGAGACCAGACCAAAUUCAUUGCACGGCUGAGACCCCAUAGAGCCCCCCUGGGGCGUUCUGCCAUGGUGGUACCCCAGCACCCAGCUCCCGAUUGCUGCAUCUCCCAGCUCCCAAGGAUGCUCAGAUCCCCUGGGAGCCCCAAAAAACCCAUGUACCAUGCCGGCGCAGUUCAGCAGCGAGGGCAGCGCACUGUCAGGGAUCUAUCUGGCUGCCUUCCCCCAGGCUUCCCCCUUGGUUGUGUGUGAAACACUCGACGGAGGCCGGCUGGGGAAGGGGUGCUGCCAUGUGGGAGUCCCCUGUCCUCUCCCUCCUCCUCUCCCUCCGGCCCUCCCCGCUCCAUGACUGUCACUGCGUCCCCUCCCCUGUGCUGUGACAGGAGCAGGAGCUGCUCUUUUAUUAAACACUUUAUUUUC
This 591-nucleotide long non-coding RNA is filed under the name Strigops habroptila (Kakapo). Its description in RNAcentral is "lncRNA (ENSSHBG00005015869.1)". Lineage: Eukaryota; Metazoa; Chordata; Aves; Psittaciformes; Psittacidae. The record is from RNAcentral.